Molecule: ribosomal RNA, 497 nt
Filed under: uncultured bacterium
Lineage: Bacteria
Description: partial 16S ribosomal RNA
Rfam family: Bacterial small subunit ribosomal RNA
Source: RNAcentral
GAUGAACGCUGGCGGCGUGCCUAAUACAUGCGAGUCGAGCGAACGGACGAGAAGCUUGCUUCUCUGAUGUUAGCGGCGGACGGGUGAGUAACACGUGGAUAACCUACCUAUAAGACUGGGAUAACUUCGGGAAACCGGAGCUAAUACCGGAUAAUAUUUUGAACCGCAUGGUUCAAAAGUGAAAGACGGUCUUGCUGUCACUUAUAGAUGGAUCCGCGCUGCAUUAGCUAGUUGGUAAGGUAACGGCUUACCAAGGCAACGAUGCAUAGCCGACCUGAGAGGGUGAUCGGCCACACUGGAACUGAGACACGGUCCAGACUCCUACGGGAGGCAGCAGUAGGGAAUCUUCCGCAAUGGGCGAAAGCCUGACGGAGCAACGCCGCGUGAGUGAUGAAGGUCUUCGGAUCGUAAAACUCUGUUAUUGGGGAAGAACAUAUGUGUAAGUAACUGUGCACAUCUUGACGGUACCUAAUCAGAAAGCCACGGCUAACUACGUG